UAAACUGAAAAUCAACAAUAGUCAAUUUGGAAUUUAAAAAAAAUAUUCCAAAAGUCCAUUUACUUAACAAAAAUCCAUAAACUUACAAAGCACUUCUAAAUAUAGCAAUAUGUCUAGAAAAGGGAACAAUUAAGGUGGGGGGGGGGGGGAUAUUCUUGCUAACUCUAAAUAUUCCAGAAACUCUUUGAAUCAGCUUCAGUUUUGCAAGAAAAAUUAGUUAUGGAGCUGUUCAUUACAAGCAAAAACAUAGCUCCAACUCUGAGGCUUCCUACUAACAAACUUGUCCUGGUUUCAACUUAGACUUUUCAUGAAUCUGACCAUGUUUAAAGGUCAGAUUCAUGAAAAUGUCUUCAGAUUAUAAACCUACUAUAUUAUCAAAUCAAACUCAAACAAAUAAUGCAAAGACAAAAGAAACAAAAAUAGUGUGACUCAUGGAUUUGACCAUAUUAAGGGUUAAACUCAAUGAAUACACAAAGCUUCAAAUAUAGGGAUCUAGCAUGCUACAUGACUAAUGCAACAAAAGAUGAGUUUAUACUAACUGAAGAAAACAGUUGACCAAUGCUAGACUCAUACAGGGAAACAAAUUUUCAUGGCAUAGACCAAAUAGACAAAGAAUCACUUAUUUAACGGAAGAUCUUCCGUAUUGUUGCAACUUCAGUGACAAAUCAUAGCAAGAAAAUACAUACAUAUAUAUAUAUAUAUAUAUAUAUAUAUAUAUAUAUAUAUAAAAUAUAAAUAUAAAUGGCAUGACUUAUCUUUAAAAUCUAUUUACAGACACUUAAACAUGGAAGAACAUGUGUACCUUAAACAACAAUAGAAAAACAACAAGUAAGAUGAAAAAAAACUGCUGAAAACUUGAGAAGAAAGGAAACAACUACAAACCAACACAGCUCCAGCAAAUCAAAUAGGUCCCAGAAUUUGAACCAAACUCAAUCAUCUUUCAAACCAGAAUCCCAGCUAAACAACCCCAGGAAAACCUCUUUUUCAAACCAUUUUUAGCUUGUGAAAAUCAAAAGGAAGAAGUUUUGCAAUUUUCUAAGAUUUCUGAAAUCUAGUCUUUUUCAAAAAGAAGAGAGAACUUUUUUGUAGUAAAAAUGAUGCUGAAAAAAUCUUCCUUAUGAAUGAGGGUAAUGUUUCAUUUUAUAGAAUGCACAAAAAGGCAUCGAAAGAGCAUAUUCUAACCUAAAAUUAUGAGUUUUUCAGGAUAAUACAAGAUAUUUU
Molecule: long non-coding RNA, 1221 nt
Filed under: Nicotiana benthamiana
Lineage: Eukaryota; Viridiplantae; Streptophyta; Magnoliopsida; Solanales; Solanaceae
Description: long non-coding RNA (NBEN_LNC038017)
Source: RNAcentral